UAAAAACCCCGACUUCGGAAGGGGUGUAUUUAUUAGAUACAAAACCAAUGCCCUUCGGGGCUCUUUGGUGAUUCAUGAUAACUAUACGAAUCGCACGGCCUUGCGCCGGCGAUGGUUCAUUCAAAUUUCUUCCCUAUCAACUUUCGAUGUUUGGGUAUUGGCCAAACAUGGUUGCAACGGGUAACGGAGGGUUAGGGCUCGACCCCGGAGAAGGAGCCUGAGAAACGGCUACUACAUCCAAGGAAGGCAGCAGGCGCGCAAAUUACCCAAUCCCGACUCGGGGAGGUAGUGACAAUAAAUACUGAUACAGGGCCCUUUCGGGCCUUGUAAUUGGAAUGAGUACAAUUUAAAUCCCUUAACGAGGAACAAUUGGAGGGCAAGCCUGGUGCCAGCAGCCGCGGUAAUUCCAGCUCCAAUAGCGUAUAUUAAAGUUGUUGUGGUUAAAAAGCUCGUAGUUGAACCUUGGGCCUGGCUGGCCGGUCCGCCUCACCGCGUGCACUGGUCCGGCCGGGCCUUUCCCUCUGUGGAACCCCAUACCCUUCACUGGGCGUGGCGGGGAAACAGGACAUUUACUUU
Molecule: ribosomal RNA, 576 nt
Filed under: uncultured eukaryote
Lineage: Eukaryota
Description: SSU rRNA
Rfam family: Eukaryotic small subunit ribosomal RNA
Source: RNAcentral